CCGGGGCCGGGCGGCGGGGCGGGCCCUGGGAGCCUCCGCCCCCCGUCUCCGCCGCCGGCGGCCGGAGCAGUUUGGGCGCCGCGGGCCGCCGUCGGUGCGCUGGGGCUGCGGGUCCGGGCGGGAGCAGCGGGAGCCGGAGCCGCCUGGGUCCGUCCCGGCCGUGCCGCGGCGCCAUGAGCGAGAAGGGCGAGCUGGACCUGAGCGGGGCCAAGCACAACACCGGCAUGUGGCUCGUCAAGGUAACAAGUAGCAGCGAGGAAGAAGACAACAUUAUAGGCCCAAUGCCUGCCAAAGGACCAGUGGAGUCUGAUGUGGCUAAAGAAUUUGAACGCAGAGCUCAGAGAAUGAAGGAAAAACUUACUUCAGCAGACAGCAUAAGUUGUGGUUUUUCACUAGUAGUAUUUUGUUGCGGGAGUGUAUUUGUGUUUCUCUUUGCCUGCCUGUGUCUGCGUGAGCCCUGUCACUGUUGUGCUCAUGAUGCUAAGUGUUAAGGCAAAAAGAAGUUCCUGAUUUCUGCUGGAAGCUGAAAGAUUCAGACAGUAGGUUUUGCUUAUCUGCUUGUGGUUCUUACACUCACUUUCUUGCCAAGCAAGUUCCCAGGGAAUCAUGGAUGACAGAACUUCCACCGGAAUUGAAAAGCUUUGGAUUUGGCCCAAGAACAUUCAAGAGAAGAGCUGAUGACAAAUCAGGCAUUGGAUCUAUUUGGACAGAUAUUGUAGCAGACAGAGAAAAGCCAAGGUAACAGAUAGUAGUGAGGAAGAAGACCACCUUAUCGAAGGGUAGUGAAGAAAGUGUAUUAUCUGGAAGAGACAAGAGACUUGCUGAGCAGGUGACUUCCUACAAUGAGUCCAAGAGAUCAGAAUCUCUCCUGGACAUGCAUCAGAAAAAGCUGAGGAGCAAAGCGUCAGGAGAGAAGGCCGUUUGACCGAGAGCAGGAUCUCAAAGUCAAUCGAUUUGAUGAAGCACAAAAAAAGCCCUUAUAAGAAAAUCGCGGGAUCUGAAUAGUAAAUUUGAGCACGGUAAAGGCAAUAUCUUUUGAUAAGAUAAAAGCGUGAAGCUUUUUGGAAGUCAGUUAAAAUUUGAAUGCUUAAUUUUUUAAGUAUUUUUCUGUAAAUAUUUGUAUGCAUGUGAAAUACCCGGUGGGUGAGUGUAAUUUGAAGACAUGCAGCCAGCACAGCUCAGCUGGGGUUGUGUGGGCAGCUGCAGCAUGGGCAGGCUGAGCACCACACAGCUAGCUCAGGCAUCCUGGUUUGCAAAGAACGAUCUCCAUGCCCGCUUGUGGAAAGCCGACUGCCUUGAGAAAUUAGUUCAUGAUCAGGUGUUGCUAUAUACUUAACUAAUAUCACAAGCACAUGGAGUAGUUUUCACUUGUUCAGACAAAUCAUUAGCAGGAACGUUUGCACAAAUGAGGGCUGCUUGUAUUAAGAUUUUAUUGCUGUUAGGCUCUUCUUUUUCAUUCUUGUUCCCUUGUCCAAAUGCAGGACAUGUCACCAGGCACUGCAGGUGGCCAAAUCUCACCAUCCAGCUGCGUUCCUGUUUGCUUGCUCCUGCUGCAGCCCCAGGUGGUCUCUGGCCCUCUGCGAGGAUGUGCUGAGUGGAGGCUGCGGGCUCUUGCUCCAGAGGAGAGCUGCCAGGGGAGCCCCGACAGCAACUUUUUGGUUAGCGCGGUGCUCAUCACGUUGCAGUCGCUGCCCCUCGCUCCCUGGGAUGCACGGCUCUGAUCAGCAAAGCCUUAAUGUGAGUCAGGAACGUGUUUUCUCGCAUCUGCUUAAUCUUUUCUGUUCUUGCUGCUGUUGUGAAGCAGCCUCUCGAAGGCUUGAUGAAAUCUGCGUUGCGAGUUAGGGGAAAAUUGGAAUUGUGGAGAGUUCAAAUGAAGCUUCUCAUUGCCGUGUGUAAAUUGAGCGAGCUUCUGAAUUGUGUUAAUACACAAACUAAUCUCUUCUCACCAAUGCCAAGCUGUUGCCUAGAACAGUCAUUAAAAUAAACGGCGACUCAGUAAAUUACAAGCUCUAUAAGCUUUUGUGUGAAGAGAUGAGCUGUCCUCUACAAUUUGGCCAAGCAGAAAUGUUAGGGGUGACUUUUUCAAGACUCUCUUUAGAAAAAAAAACAGAAUUUAUUUCAUGGAAGGCUCUCGCUGUAAUUAGUAUGUAAUGUUUCUGGUAAGCAGCUCCCCACACCUGUUUAAUGGGCUUCGGUGCUCCUCCGCCCUGCCAGCCUGCCCAGCGGCUGCUUGGCUUGAGGCACACCAAGACACACCAGUUUGUAGCAAGAUGUCAGGAAGCUUUUCUCGGAUGUGAAAAGCCUGUUAGCUGAGAUGUUAAAGCAUUUGCCUUUGUUUUGUGCCGGUGCAGACUUUUAUUCACAUAUUACCACAAAAAAAAAAAAUCUGUUUGAGAGUAAGGUUCACUCCUUCUGAGGUGUCAAAUAGGUGUGGAAGGCAAUUCGUGGUGAAGGCAGUGAAGAGAAGGCUAGCAGGUGGUGAGUAAAUGCUGCAGUGGGUGUCUAAGGGGAAUUUGAAAGAAUAUUAUAUGCUAAUUAAAACAAACAAAAGAAAAAGAACAACUUCUGAGUCUGCCUUGUUACCAAGGAAAAAUUAAAGGCAGAAAAGACAUUUUAAGAAAACUCACUGUAUUUUUUUUUUCAUCUAUCUUCAGGGCAUAUUCCGUACUGAGCUACCUUAAUGCUUGAUCCAGGAAAAUUGUGAUAGAUUAGCAAUACUCUUGCCUGAGAAAAAUUUCUGCUUUCCUAAUUCGAACACCUGUUUCUCGAGAGUUAAUGUGUGUUAAAUAAACCCAAAGCCUCAUUUGGA
This is a long non-coding RNA of Cygnus olor (mute swan), 2809 nucleotides long. RefSeq lists it as uncharacterized. NCBI's taxonomy places the organism in Eukaryota, Metazoa, Chordata, Aves, Anseriformes, Anatidae. The record is from RefSeq and is a predicted model, not a curated record. The transcript is spliced from 4 exons.